Capsicum annuum is the source of this 593-nucleotide long non-coding RNA. RefSeq lists it as uncharacterized. The transcript is spliced from 2 exons. Lineage: Eukaryota; Viridiplantae; Streptophyta; Magnoliopsida; Solanales; Solanaceae. The record is from RefSeq and is a predicted model, not a curated record.
AUUGAAACCAUUUUCCUCAAUAAAUUGAUUUAGUUUUCCGAUGCUUCUCAGAUUUGAUCUCAAGCAAUGGGUAGAUAUGGUAACAUGAUUCAACGCAUAUCCAUUGACAAGGGUCCAGGCAGCAUACUCGCUCUCCCUGGCAACAAUGCUCGUUGGGGAUACUUCUCUUCCAGAUACUGCCCAAGAAAUCUUCUCAUCACCAACAACAUAGUAAUGGUAAAAUUUACACACUCAAAUGGCAGAGUACAAGAAAACCAUACCAUUAUGAUAGCAAAAGAGUCGACAAUUACUGCAUCUCCAUCAACCAGCGUGGGCACGUAUGCUAGGGGAUUCAGCUUCAAGUAUUCUAUUCCAUACAUUACAAAGGCCAAAACUAAGAACCAAAUGUCACAUCUUUGAUUAAUGAGUUUUUAACUAUUAAAAUAUUGAGAUUAUGGUGAUAAGAAGAAUGGACAGAUAUUAUGCUGUUGCUAGUACAUGCCUGGAAUGUGGUGUUUCUGCAGUUUAUAAUCUCUAACAAGAUUAGAAGUCCUUUUUUUUGGAUGUUUGUAAAUUUCUAUUUAUGUGAAAUCGUAUAGAAUUUAUGCUCCUCU